This 4622-nucleotide unclassified non-coding RNA is filed under the name Portunus trituberculatus (swimming crab). Its description in RNAcentral is "dopamine receptor 2-like, transcript variant X2". The record is from RNAcentral. Lineage: Eukaryota; Metazoa; Arthropoda; Malacostraca; Decapoda; Portunidae.
GACGCGAGUGGGCGCGGGAGGCUACAGGGCGCCGGGCAGUUCGACGCGUGCCUCCUUGGUGAGCGGAGUGGCGCCUCUCCAUAGCCCGCCGCUCACCGCUCCGCACUUGUUCAUCUGACCGGCGCAAGUCGCCCGCGCCGUGAGUCCUGAACCGCGAUUGUGGAUUACACGCUGCAUUCCAGUGACCUGUUACCUUUCACGCCACAAGACAGCCCCGCAUCCGGCCAUAACUCAUCCUGCCGCUGUAGUAAAACUUUGCACCACAAACGAGCACAAAGUUUUGCAUCAUAGACUCAAUAAAGAUAUUGUUUCUUCGACGUUUACGUGACAUGAAAAUAAAAUCACCAGCGGCAAAAUUUAGGACAGUAGCUAACUUAUCGAUAACACACUGAUCGAGGUAAAAGAAACAAGUGACUUACAUACAGAAAAAUAGUUAUACAUUCAUCUCUAGUUAAAGUCUGGCAGUGGAUUGGAGGGUAUCGCUAGCCUCGGAUACACCUGGCGCACCUGAGUUGUAGCGGUGACUAAUUGCACACCUGUCACAAGGAACACCUGCUUGGGGAAAAUCAGUUUGAGAUUUCUUGAUUUGUGAGGGAGGCGGCGGGGCUUCUCAAGAGCUGCCGCCGCCAAGAGCCCGAGUGGGAGGCUGCGGGGCGCGGCAAGGCAAGUGUUUCAGUGACUUGCUACUACUCAGAGUCACGUCUGACUACUGUUUCGUGGCAAGCGAGAAGGAUUUUGUUAGUGGAUGUGUGUUCAGAGCGAGAUGAUGAAAAGUUCUCUGUGCGCGAUGUGUCAGUGUUGGUGAUGCCUGGGAAGCACCACACCGUGGGACUCUUCUGAGCCUCAGUCUUACUGCGGCGCAAAAAAAAUAUGGUCGUCCGCCAUCCUUGAGCGGAGCGUGUCAAUCCUCCAGUCCUGCGCUGCCCUCCACGAUCAUCUCACCCUCCUCCCUCGAUGCUCGAGUGACACCAUGAUCCCGAGCAUCACCGCCAAUCGCUCGGCCAGCUGGAAAAAGCACAUCCACAGUUUGUCUGGACUGCCCUCACCUGAGACUGGCCAGGACGACAGGGGCGUGAGUCUGGAUGAUACGCCCUUUCUCAUUGACGGAUCCACGCCAGAUCAGACGGACAUUGACUGGCAGCAGGCGAGAAGAGUGGCGGGACAACCCUCCCUUCCCUCCUGGUCUGUUGGGAAGCUUGGGAGCGUGGCCUCCAGUGAGGCGGAGGGAGGCGGGCGGUGGCUGUUCCAGACUGUGUCCAGGACAAGAGGAGAGGGGAGGGAGAGCUCCACCCUGGCCAGCGUGAGUAGCGGUCUGGCCACCUCUGAGCUGGACGAAGGUCACCACUCACACCACAUCCCCGGCGCUGCUGGCGGCGACAGUGAAGGAGAUGAUGGCUACGUUAUCAAGCUGUCGGGCGGCGCACACGAACAAGGCUCGCCAGCAUGGUGGCAGCAGACGCCCAACACCACCGAACUGCUGCUGCUGGACGGGCCGCAGAACGCCUCUGAGUGGCUCAACGACACUCUGAUGAGCUGGAAGAGUGAGAGUUCCCCGGCCCUCAACGUGUCCGUCACGUGCACCAACCUCUCCUUCAACGGGUCUGGCUGCCUGCAGGACGAGGCUCCUCCAUUUGAGGUGACGCCGGAGGGCCUCGCCCUGUGCCUGCUACUUCUCUUCUUUGCUGUGUCUACCAUCUUCGGCAACGGCCUGGUGAUCGUGGCCGUGGCCCGUGAGCGGUACCUGCACACCGUCACCAACUACUUCAUCAUGUCUCUGGCGGUGGCUGACUGCCUGGUGGGGGCGCUGGUCAUGCCCUUCAGUGCCCUCUACGACUCCUUUGAUUACUGGCCGUUCGGCCCAGACUUCUGUGACGUGUGGCGCAGCUUUGACGUGCUCGCCUCCACCGCCUCCAUCCUCAACCUGUGCGUUAUCUCCCUGGACCGCUACUGGGCCAUCACGGACCCCUUCAGCUACCCGACCCGCAUGUCGCCCAAGCGGGCGUGCAUGCUCAUCGCACUGGUGUGGGUGUGCUCUGCCCUCAUCUCUUUCCCUGCCAUCGCGUGGUGGCGGGCAGUGUCUGAGCCGCAUCCAGUGGGCGCCUGUCCCUUCACAGAGGACCUCUCCUACCUGGUGUUCUCCUCCACCAUCAGCUUCUACGGGCCGCUCUUCGUGAUGGUGUUUACUUAUUUUCGCAUCUAUCGCGCAGCGACGGAGCAGACUCGCUCCCUCAAGCUCGGCCAGAAGCUGGUGUCUUCCCUGGGUGAUGGGGAGAUGGAGCUAACUCUCCGCAUACACCGAGGGGGCGGCGGCAGCAGCUCUAACAGCACAGGCAACGGCGUGCACCGCACCCACUACGCGGCGGGCAAGACGUACAGCUGCUCUCAGGAGAACGGAGGCAUAAAUCACCCUCAAAACACAAGCCAGUCUCUGGAGGACAGUGAGGCGUGUCCGCUCGGAGCGUCCCUGCACGAGGGCACUUCUCCAGACAGCUCUACCAAAGUGGUGUCACGAAACCUGAAAAACUUCUCCAUUUCACGUAAACUGUGUAAAUUCGCGAAGGAGAAGAAAGCGGCAAAGACCUUGGGCAUUGUGAUGGGCGUGUUUAUUGUGUGCUGGCUGCCCUUCUUCGUCACCAACCUGCUCUCCGGCCUGUGCGGGGAGCGGUGCAUCAGGGAGCCCGCGCUGGUGGACGGCGUGGUCACCUGGCUGGGCUGGAUCAACUCCGCCAUGAACCCUGUGAUCUACGCCUGCUGGGCCAAGGACUUCAGGAGGGCGUUCACUCGCAUCCUGUGCUCCUGCUGCCCCCGCCGGUGCCGCAAGCGUUAUCAGACCAGAUGGAAGGGAGGCAUCGCGCAGUUUGACCCCUACGAGGACUUCUGACCCCCUCCCACCCCCCUGGUCCUCCUUCACCCUCCUCGCCUCGCCUCACCUUUUUCCACACCACUCUAAAAAUAUCGAUGUUAAUUCUCCUUUUUUGCCUCGCACAUAAUGACCUUCUAAAUUAGGUCUGAAUAUCUUGUCUCUUCUUCUUUUUUCUCUCUCUUCUUCUGAAUCCUUGGAAAACAUUUUGCAUUUCUUCAACGUGUUUGUCCCCUUUUCCAUGUACCCAUUAUUCUCACGUUUUCUUCUCUUCCCCCUAUUUUGCUUCCUUGUGUGUAUUGAUUCGACAUCUAAUGCGAAUGUAACCCUCAUUUUCUUCCCCCAAGAGUGAGUCUGGAUAAGUCUGUCGUCUUACCUGUCUUGAAUACCUGGCUUCAAUACCCGUCCUGAGUCACCUGUCUCCGCCACACUCACUUGUCUCACUCUCAUCUCACCUGCUCAUGUUAGGCAAGGAAUUGUCUCCUCUAAGGUCAUUGAGUGAAACGCUGCUGCUUAACCCCUUCAAUACUGACGCAUUUUCAUAUUCAUUUUGGUUAUUUUGGCGAUUUUGUACAGCUUCAAAAACUUAUGUGGGAAUCAGAAUACUGAAGACUGUGGCCAUUGAUUUUUGACAUCCAUAGACCCUUCCUAAUGUCAAUAAAAUCGUCUAAUCACACCCAAACAUCAUGGUAAAAAUGCGUCCCAGUAUUCAAGGGCUUAAUGAGUCUUCCUUGCGUGGCUGAAAACUUCCCAAACAAGGACACCGAGGGAUUAAUAUUUGUGCAAUAAAUUAUGGGAUUUUUACGUCCAAGCUGAUUUUUAAGAGUUUUUAAUCCAUAUAUUUUAGACAAGCGCUCAUAUCAUUAUUCUAAGAUCCAUUAUUUAUUCUAUAGUCAGUAAUUCAGUAGUUUACCUUUUUCAAUAAGCAUAAAUCCGUCUAAUUUGAUCUCUAAUCAAUUUUCUCUUUUAUUUUUCCACCAUUUUAUUUUUUCAACCAAAUCGAUCACAUUAUCUUAGCAUUGAUUAAUUGUUUUAAAGUAAGUAGUUUAUUUUUCCUCCUCAUUUACAUUGCAGUUUUAAGGUUUUGUUCAAUAUUUAGUAAAGCACUAGUGUCAUUACUUUACAAUUCGUUAUUUAUUUCGAGUCAGUCAUUUACCAUCAAUAUAAACCGAAACCUGCCUUUUCUUUUAUCUCCAUCGUCAUUUCUCUUCGUUUUGUCUCGUCCAUUACGCGCCUCUCCUCUUUCUAAUCAUGCAUCUUCAUUCUUUACACUCUUAUCUUCCCCCACCCUCCCCGCUCCCCAUUUGUCCUUCACGUCCCACGAUUUUCUUACAUUUCUCCCACGGAUCUUUUUUUUUUUCGACAUUUCACCCUGAUGGAUCUUUAUUCGCAUCCUUCAAUCGCUUCUUCCCUUCCUUUUAUUUCUUUUCCAUUCCUUACCAACUACCACCGGCACCAAUAUCCUUUUCCCUUCCCCUCUACCUCCUCUUCCUCUUCCUCUUCCUCUUCCUCCAUAUCAACGGGUGCUUCGCUUCAGCUUCCAUCGUGUGACACCUUUCCCUCCCCUCCCUGGUGACUGCUCCCUGGUGGUCCGCUUCCCUGGUGCCCUAAGGUGGCCGCCUGUGAUCAUCGUCACCCCGGUCGUAUCCACCCUCAGCACCUCCUUCAUCAAGAGCGCGGAGCCACGGCCCUGCGUCCCCUCAGCUCCCUACACCCCAGUGGCGCCAGCCCUCGCCUCCGCCUUAGUCGCUGCCACUUCAGG